Cyanistes caeruleus (blue tit) is the source of this 6621-nucleotide long non-coding RNA. RefSeq lists it as uncharacterized. NCBI's taxonomy places the organism in Eukaryota, Metazoa, Chordata, Aves, Passeriformes, Paridae. The record is from RefSeq and is a predicted model, not a curated record.
AGCGCCGCAAGCUGAGGGAUCGGCAGCGGGAUCGGCACAGCGGGGCCGCCUGGCUGUGAGGGGCGCGGGGGCUGCGAGCGCUGUGGGUCUUGGUGCGCGCCUUGGGUCCUGCCGCACUCUUGUGCUUGCUCUUUCCGGAGCUCUCGAGGUGUUGCGCACACGCCGCCUCGGGAGGGUAGGAAGUACCUUUGGUAAGUGAAGGGUAGAGAUGGAAUGCUAAGAAAAAGUGUUCCCGGAGGAAAUUGGAAAUGCCUCUCCGUGAAGCUCUCCAUAAGGCUGUGUCAAGGAAGGUUUAGUCUUGAUGUUAGAAAAACGUUCUUCCCCCGGGGGUGGUUGGGCACUGGAAUAGUUUUCAUUUCAUUUCAUCCCCAGGGACGUGGUCACAGCGCCAAGCCUGACAGAGUUCAAGAAGUAUUUGGACAAAGCUCUUAAGCACAUGGUGUGACUCUUGGCGUGUCCUGUGCAGGGCCAGGAGUUGGACUUCGAUGAUCCUUGUGGGUCUCUUCCAACUCGGGAUAUUCCGUGAUUUUUGAUACCAGGCUGUGUGAUGUAUCCAGUCCAUGGAAACGAGGAAUUCAGGGAGUGAAAGCUUGACUAGAAAUAUAGAGAGAGGGAAACCUGAUGCCUAAAAACUGCCAGCACAGCACUUGGUGUUUGUUGUCCUUAACCUCAGAGCCCAGAUAAGCACUGAGGCAUUUUCUUUUUUAACCUAUAAGAAUGGUCUCUGUCCUUGCAGUGCCCUGACCACCGACUCAACCAGUUAUAUCAUGUCUUUACCAUGUUUUCAUUAUUUCUCAGGUAGCCUCCUGUCUUUUGCUGUAAUGCCAGAUCCACGCCAGAUGCAAGUCUUCAGGUUCCUGUUAUCACUAAUGCAGCUGCAGCAGUUAACACCAUCAGGCUGUAUCAUGUCUGCUACCUAUAGCAAAGUUCUGCAUGUUAUAUGUUGGUUUGCCUACAGAAGUUACUUGAAGUUCUGUAGCCAUGUUGUCACAUUAAGAAUAGCAGCAAGUCAGUGCUUUUUAGAGACAAGAAAGAAUCCAGGGAUAUAAUAAAUAUUACUUAUUCAGGUACACCAUUUACUCUUCCAGUGUGUGGAUGCCCAUUCUGCCAUUUCAAUAUAGAAAUAGGAGCUUUUAGUUCAGUAUUUGCUCUCAAGGUAGAGGUAGGUAGAAAACUGCAGGCAACAUGAAGGGUUCUGGCAGCCCAUGGCAUGCUUUUGCCAUGGUCUGUGAAUAAUCAAAGUGUGGGGUAUGAAAGAAGAUGUUGGUGAGGUCAUGGCACAGACAUGCAGUCAUGUUACAGAAUGCACAGCUUUUCAUAUUGUACACCAGUCCCACUGCCCUGUGCUUCCAUACACAUUAAACAUGGGAUACACCAGUAUUUCUAGUCAUAUGACUGACACACAUUUAUUGAUAUCUGACAAGUAGAGGCAUACAGUUUGUGAGUGUCUCCUUUAUAAACUGAAUAGCUUAUCCCUAUGGAAAGGUUAAGCAUCAGUGCUGUAUUCACCAUGAGCCUCAGUAUGAAGCUCAUAGGACUAGGAGCCUACACCUUUCCUAAAAAAAUAUGCCUUUGGGGGGGAAUUCUGUGAUUCUGACUGAAAAUUAAGAGAACAAGUCUUUCUAUCUAGAGGUUUGUGUUGGAUUUCAAUUUUUUUGGUAUAUCACUGUUGUCAAACUUUUCAAAUUAGUACGUGUAAGUAGAAUUGUACAAACAUUCAAGAAAAAAAAUUACUCUUCUUCUGAACCAGUGUAGUGCAAGAGGCACAUCCAUUAAUUGGUAAUGGCAUGUCAUACUCAAAAGAGAACUCAAACCAUUGAACCUGGUUUUUUUGACUUGCAGGAAUGUAUUUUUCAGCAGUUUGUAUUAAAUUGUUUUUUCUUUGUAGAUGAGGCCGAGUGAGAUCUGUUUUCACGCUGUGGUUACUGUUACAGCUCGUUCUUUCUAAACAUACAAAACCAACUGUUCAUUACAGUGCACAGCUUGUUAAUAAUCUCUUACAAAAUAUUGCAAUAAAAUAUGACCCACUGUAGUGGAAUAUUCCACUGUAGUGGAAUAAAGUUCAAAAGGUAUUUUUCCUUCCUGUAAUUUUAGUGCAAGUGGAAUUCAGAAGGUCGAACGUACAAAUCACCUGAUACGAAGUGUUGAACAGUUGCUCUGUCUCCUUUGAGAAUUGGUGUAACACUGUCGUAUGUGACACAGUGCAUAUAGUGUUAUUGUGGGUGUUCUUGACAAAGAAUACUCACCAAAGUGUGCCACAUGUACCAGAUCUUUUCUUCUUUCCUUCACACAUUGAGUCAAGGAGUAAUUUUCAGAGCACAGAAACUUGGUAGCCUUCAUUUGUCAUGUCUAGCAAUUUGAAUGUUUGACUAAAAGCUUGUAGGUUAUUUCAUUGAUUUAACUACAAAAGCCAGGAAAUUAGUAGCAAGGAAGUUAUAUUACUUUGCCAGUUUUCUCACAAACAAAAUCAGUGCUAGAAGAGCACAAGGGUGCAUGUUUGUGCAAAUAAACCAGUGUUGAUUCUGUAUAGUUACUGGUCAAGAUUUACAUAGUCUUACAUACUGAAGCUGUGAAAGGAUGUCUGUAAACUAAGAAUUUUGACAGAGAAGAGCACUUAUUUCAUCGUAACAUGUAUCCAUAGUCUCAAACUGUCCAACAUACCAUAUUUGCACUGAAAGACCUCAACUAGCCAACCAAUAAACCCACAAAACCUUGACAAUGAAAAAGGAAACAAGUAAAUGGUUAUGCUGACCCCAGAAGUUUUCCAUGCCUUUAUUUGGCUUCUGUGUCACCUAGAAUGUUAGAAGGUCCAAGAGCUCAGCAGUGCUUCGGUGAUCUACUGACUCACACAAAGGGGGAAGGAGAGCAGCAGUCAUACUUCCUGGAAGUUCUGGGACAGCACUAAUCACAUAAUUUAAAUAUUGAUAAUUAGCCCAAAAAGCAAAUGUACCUGUGAUUGGGCAUGAAACACUGAGCUGUUUUGAAGGGAGAAAACAUAAUACCCAAAGAAAUGGGGACCAUAAGAUGGAGGAGACUCUGUCUGGAGAAGACAGAAGUUUUGUGCUAUGAGUACUCAUGUUUGUAAUUUAUUGUGAUAACACUUCUAUGAAGGAUUUUGAUUUCAUUUAAUUUUAUUCUUGUGGCUGAUAAUGAAGACAAACUCACUUGGAAUGGUGUAUCCAUUAACUAAGAAGAACAAGAGCUCCAGUUGCUGGAAUGACAAAAGAAAAUUAGUGAUACCAUAGAUGUUGAAAGUCUUUUGUGGCAAAAACUUCUGAAUUUCUUUUGCCUUGGAGCUUCAUGUGAUCAGCAAUAACAAAAAUUCAGAAACAAAAUUGCAGAGGUUUCAACCAGAACAAGAACAUGAAUCCCUACUGUUUUAUUAAAUUGAUUAGCAGUAAUUCCACAACUGUUUUCAUAGCAAGUAAAUAUCACUAAUACUCAUGGUAAAGUGGCCAAAUACUUCCAUUUUUAUGGGCAAACAAGGGAAUUGAGAUUGUUUAAAGACAUGACUGAAACAGUGAAUUGUCUGGUUCAGGGAAAUAAUAUUACUUGAUCAGAUGGCUUUAACUUGUCUUUUUGAGUACCAAGAGUGCCUUUCAGGUCAAAGAAUUCCAGACCUCUAAAGCUUUAUCUCAGCAAACCACAAAAUAAAACCAUGCAACAGUACAUGCAAUUCAGAGGCUGAUGAAGGAGAUAAAGUGCAGUGACACAUUGAAGUCUGUGAAAAAUCACUGUGAACUUGAUAGGAAAUCCAUGCAGGCUUCCAUUAUGCACUUAAAAACCUCACUUUUGAGAUUUCCCUGAUUUACUGACAAGAAGCUGCAUUAAAUUCAUUAGCUUGGGAGCAAAGUUUGAGUUUGACCCUAUUUAGGAGGAACUUAGAUUUCAAAGACGCUAUGGUGGAUGUUUCAUACUUUGGGAUUAUACCAUAGAUCAGUAUAAAUAGCACAAGAACAUAAGGAAGAGCUCUUCAACAGAUUUCCACUGCAGGAUGAAUCUUUACAAUGUCAGUAAAAACAGUAGUCUAUUAUGACUAGACAUUCUAUUUCACUUCAUUGUUACUACUAAACUUCCUAUUUUUAUGGUGCCUUAGUAAUGAUGUUCCUUCUAUUACAUUUUAGUAUUCCUAUUCACUUAGUCUAAUAAAUCCCUGCUUCUCUGCAGUACCACUGAUCUGGGAAAUGUUCCUUCUCAUUUCACAAAGACAGAGAUAAAGAAAUGGAAAGUGCUACAGUCAAAACAGCAAAGACAAAGGCUGUCCAAUUAGGUAAUUGGACAUGUGCAAAACAACCAGAAUUCCAAAAUAUCUCCUGAAUGUUAUUGAGACAUAGAUUACUUUAGGCUUCAGAGGCUAGGGAAGGAGAAUCAGCAGUCUGAGGGUGAAUUGACUUCAGAAACUUAAGGACAAAUGACCAAGAAGAUGAGGAGCAGUUCACACCUCCUCUGGCCAAGCCCCAUCAGGGUGCGCUGCCUGAGCUUCCUGCUGAGGGUGAUACUCCAGCAAGAGCUGCCUUUCAAAAUUUGGAAAUUCAACCAGUGUGGACAAAAGUAUCAACGUUUAUGUUUCUCUUUGGUUUUUGCAUUUCAGUAGUUCAGAUUUCACUGAAAAUUCAUUGAGAUCUUCAGCACAUGGAAGAUUAGAAUCAGUAAUAUAGUAUCAUAAUGAAGAGUAAUUAAGGUGUUUCCUGGAUACCAGAAGGCGAUCAAGGAAAGCUCUUUUCUUUUUUUCCCAAGUCUCAUCUGGUGCUAUCAAGAUUAAAUGAAGCGCAACUCAUGGUUAAUGAAGUUUUUAUUAUUCUACUACAAAAAAAUUUUGUCUCUUAAAAUGCUUCCCUUUUGCCUUUCAUACACAGUUUCUGUCCAUACUUUGUCUAUUUUAGUGGAGUCAUAUGCCAUAUUUAGCCCAGACAAACGAUUUUAGAUUUUACUAAUUUCAAAAUAGUAAUAGUGUGUCAUCUCUGUAUAUUGUCAGCCUGCUUCACAGGGCUGUAAGUUCAUCUAAGACUCUUUCCACUACUGCACAGAAAACAAACGACCUUUCAGGGAAAUACCUAUCAGUGUUUCAAUCACUGCUGCUGCUUUUCAGUAAGGAUUAUCAAAAAUCUCAAACUUUAUUCUCCUAGAAGUACAGAACAACUGCACUUUAGUAAUUUUAAAUGCUGGAAUCUGGUUUAAGAGGGUGAUUUGUAGCAGUAGGUACUACAGUGAUUAAUGAGAUUCCAGUAGCUUUUCCCUAGCUUCCUGCCUAGAGAAAAAAAAUAACAAACAAAUAAACAAAAAACCCCACCCCAAACCCAUAAUGGCAGAUUAGUUGUGUGCCUUUUGCUGCUUUUUGUAAAAUGUUAAUAGACUCUAAAGGUUUCAUUUUUGAAUGAGAACCAUUUAAGCAAGAAUUUUAGCAGAUGCAGAGGACAUUCAAGGAACUUGUGAAAAUUCCUUAUGUUCUGCUUUAUAAAGUCUGUUACACACAUUUGGCACAAGCUGUGAAUCUAACCCGAUUUCCAAGUAUUUAAACGGUCCAUAAAAAAAAAGCCAUUUCUGUAAUAUAGUUAUAUUUUUCCUUUUUUUUUUUUUUCAAGUGCAUAUUAAGUACACAUCUGAAGAAACAAUAUUGUACUCCUUUAUUUUAGAUGUAGGUAGCAGUCACAAGAGAUUAAAUGCUGUUAUGUGUAACAAAGCAUGAAGAUGACAAGAUGCAUGAACCAGAGGCUUUUUAGCUCAGUCACAUCAUCCAGUACAUAAUGAUUCAGAUUUUGUAUUUCAGACACCAAUGUCAUCUUGGGGUUGAAAUCACUCUGGUUGAAUCUGUAUAAAUAAGAUAGCUCCCCACACCCCAAUUACCUUCCUACUUUAAAAAUAGAAAGGAAAAUGAGUCGUCCUGAGUUUAGAGAUGAGUUGUGUGUGGUAUUUGUGAUGGAAAAUUCUUUCUAAAAUAAACACAGUAAUAAAUGGUCUUCUUUUUUCCUCUCAUACUUAAGGGGACAGGCUGCUUCUAGUGACAGAGUACUAGACUAGACUGAUCCUGGUCUCUUUUAGGGUGUCAGUACAUACUAAUACAUACAGCACUAUAUCUUAGAGUCAUUAAUUGUGUAAAGAAGAAUAUUUUUCUGUAGUUUUUCUAUUAAAUUUCUUUAAAGCCACAUGCAGAACGUUACUUCCCAUGUUGUAUUUUAGUUCCAGCAACUCUAAUAUGGAUGAUAUGCUGAUGAGCUUUUGAAAUCCUGAAAAACAUGAAUUUGACAGGGAACCUAGAUAGGACUUUAAAAAAUAUUACAAAUAAUUUAACUGCUAUUACAAAAUUUUUAUAAAUGCUGAAUAAGGGAGUCAUUUAAUAAAUGCAUUAGCCUCUAUUAAUUUAGUUUCUUCACUUCAUUACAGAAGGACACUGUUGAUCCAAAAUUUAUUAGCAGUGUUCUGCUAAGGCCAGCGGAGGGCAGGCUUGAAUUGGAAACACUUUUUAUAACUGCAGUUACUUGAAGUUAAAAUACCAGAUAGUGCCUCAUCACUUCUCUACUAUUCUAGUUACCCAUGUGCUGGAUAAAAUCUUCUUUGCAGUCGCUGUUUGACAAAAUGAGUGUUUUGCGAAUGUUUAAAUAAAGAUGUUAAUAUGAAAGUGAA